GGCUCAGAUUGAACGCUGGCGGCAGGCCUAACACAUGCAAGUCGAGCGGAUGACAGGAGCUUGCUCCUGAAUUCAGCGGCGGACGGGUGAGUAAUGCCUAGGAAUCUGCCUGGUAGUGGGGGACAACGUUUCGAAAGGAACGCUAAUACCGCAUACGUCCUACGGGAGAAAGCAGGGGACCUUCGGGCCUUGCGCUAUCAGAUGAGCCUAGGUCGGAUUAGCUAGUUGGUGAGGUAAUGGCUCACCAAGGCGACGAUCCGUAACUGGUCUGAGAGGAUGAUCAGUCACACUGGAACUGAGACACGGUCCAGACUCCUACGGGAGGCAGCAGUGGGGAAUAUUGGACAAUGGGCGAAAGCCUGAUCCAGCCAUGCCGCGUGUGUGAAGAAGGUCUUCGGAUUGUAAAGCACUUUAAGUUGGGAGGAAGGGCAGUAAGCUAAUACCUUGCUGUUUUGACGUUACCGACAGAAUAAGCACCGGCUAACUCUGUGCCAGCAGCCGCGGUAAUACAGAGGGUGCAAGCGUUAAUCGGAAUUACUGGGCGUAAAGCGUGCGCAGGCGGUUAUGCAAGACAGAUGUGAAAUCCCCGGGCUCAACCUGGGAACUGCAUUUGUGACUGCAUAGCUGGAG
This 630-nucleotide ribosomal RNA is filed under the name uncultured Pseudomonas sp. RNAcentral describes it as "bacterial SSU rRNA". It matches the Rfam family "Bacterial small subunit ribosomal RNA", at positions 21 to 646 of the family's 1533-position model. Lineage: Bacteria; Pseudomonadati; Pseudomonadota; Gammaproteobacteria; Pseudomonadales; Pseudomonadaceae. The record is from RNAcentral.